GAUGAUGAUUGAAUCUAGGUAAUGAUCCCUGAGGUAAAGGAUGAUGAUUGAAUCUAGGUAAUGAUCCCUGAGGUAAGGAUGAUGAUUGAAUCUAGGUAAUGAUCCCUGAGGUAAAGGAUGAUGAUUGAAUCUAGGUAAUGAUCCCU
Molecule: non-coding RNA, 146 nt
Organism: Salvelinus sp. IW2-2015
Lineage: Eukaryota; Metazoa; Chordata; Actinopteri; Salmoniformes; Salmonidae
Source: RefSeq, a predicted model, not a curated record